Molecule: microRNA precursor, 113 nt
Filed under: Paramuricea clavata
Lineage: Eukaryota; Metazoa; Cnidaria; Anthozoa; Malacalcyonacea; Plexauridae
Rfam family: mir-50 microRNA precursor family
Source: RNAcentral
ACGCGGGUACCAGCCGACAAUACGGCUAUCAGCCGGGCGUGUCUGUAGUAUACUAUAGUAUAUUACAGACACGCCCGCCUGAUAGCCGUGUUGUCGGCUGGUACUGCGUAUUG